UCGACUCGUCCAUAGUUGGAGUCGACUCGGGCACUGUACUCAGAAAAUACUUCUCUGUCUUUGCUCUUGGAGUCGGCUCGGUCUCGGACGGAGUCGACCCGCGCUCUGUACAUAGAAAUCCUUCUUUCUGUCAAUCCAUCGGGAGUCGACUCGCCCGAAGUGGGAGUCGGCUCGAGUGUGUGCUAUUUAACCGCCUUUGUGCUAGAGUCGACUCGAGAAUCUUUCAGAGUUGACUCGAACGCAGGGUGAAAAUUGAGAUUGGUUCUAAACAUAGUAAUGGUGGAAUUAAAAGCCCCUUGAACCAAUUAUUUAAAUUAUUCUAGCACAUUCAACAAUAUUUUCCUGAAACACUCAUUUGAAUUCAUUAGUAUAAUAUGAAAUAUACUUAAGUGUUUUGGGCUCAUCAAAAUCAAAUAGGGAAAUAACAAUCACUCAACACAAGGAAAAAUAUUUCCAUUGCAACGAAGACGGCCAUUGGAAGAGGAACUGUCCUAUCUACAUGGGGAGUAUAAAGAGCAAGAAGGAAGACACGCCUUCUGAAGGUAUGUCAGAUAUGCUCAUUAUUGAAACUAAUCUGACAGUUUCUUCUACUUUCAGUUGGGAUAUAGAUUCUGGUUCUAGUGCUCACUUGUGCACUACUAUGCAGGGUCUAAAGAAAAGUAGAAGGCUCACGGAAGGUGCGAUAACCAUCCGGGUUGGCAAUAGAGCAAGAGUUGCUGCUGUUGCUAUGGGCACCUAUUCUCUACAAUUACCGUCUGGAUUUAGUUUGAUACUAAAGGACUGUUAUUUUGUACCUGUUGCCAGCAGAAAUCUGAUUUCUGUAUUUUGU
Molecule: long non-coding RNA, 829 nt
Filed under: Phoenix dactylifera (date palm)
Lineage: Eukaryota; Viridiplantae; Streptophyta; Magnoliopsida; Arecales; Arecaceae
Description: long non-coding RNA (PDAC_LNC002022)
Source: RNAcentral